Molecule: unclassified non-coding RNA, 1332 nt
Filed under: uncultured Neocallimastigales
Lineage: Eukaryota; Fungi; Neocallimastigomycota; Neocallimastigomycetes; Neocallimastigales
Description: partial contains internal transcribed spacer 1, 5.8S ribosomal RNA, internal transcribed spacer 2, and large subunit ribosomal RNA
Rfam family: Eukaryotic large subunit ribosomal RNA (bases 555-1332)
Source: RNAcentral
GAAAUAAUUUUUUCUAAAAAAUUAUUGAAUGUCUUUCCCUGUUUGAUGGAGCUGUAAUAGCAAAGUCAAUCAGGGGAAUGGCAAACGAUAAUUUUUUUUGAAAAGACCUUUUUUUAAAAUUAAACUUUUUGUAUUCAUUUGUCUAAAAUUAUUUUUAUAAUAUAAAAACAACUUUUGACAAUGGAUCUCUUGGUUCUCGCAACGAUGAAGAACGCAGCAAAAUGCGAUAAGUAAUGUGAAUUGCAGAAUACGUGAAUCAUCGAAUCUUCGAACGCAUAUUGCACUUUUUUGGUUUACCAAAAAAGUAUGUCUGUUUGAGUAUCAGUAAAAUAUUCUCAUAAAAACUAUUGUUUUUAUGGUUAUGAGUGUUUUACAACGAUAAACAAGUUGUUUCACUUUAAAUUCUUUGUCUUUUAAAAAAUCAUUUAAAAACUGAUUUUUUUUAAAAUUGGAUAAAAUUUUCCCGUAAAAAGGAAUAACCUGAACAAUUUUAAGAAUGAAUUAGUUUGAUUUUUUAAAAAAAGACCAAAAGGAAAAAAAAGUAAAAAUUAACUUGAUCUCGAAUCAGAUAAGAGUAUCCGCUGAACUUAAGCAUAUCAAUAAGCGGAGGAAAAGAAACUAACUAGGAUUCCCUCAGUAACGGCGAGUGAAGCGGAAGAGCUCAAAUUUGAAAUCCUCAAGGUUUUACCUUGACGAAUUGUAGUUUAAAGAAGUGUUUUCUGUUGGAGUUUUGGUAAAAGUUCUUUGGAAAAGGACAUCGUAGAGGGUGAGAAUCCCGUAUUUGACCAUUAUUUCCAGCUUUGUGAUACACUUUCAAAGAGUCGGAUUGUUUGGGAAUGCAGUCCAAAAUGGGUGGUAAAUUUCAUCUAAAGCUAAAUAUUGGCGAGAAACCGAUAGCGAACAAGUACCGUGAGGGAAAGAUGAAAAGAACUUUGAAAAGAGAGUUAAACAGUACGUGAAAUUGUCAAAAGGGAAGCGUUUGACACCAGUGUUGUUUUCUCGAAAAUCAAUUAAAAAGAUUGGAUUUUGUGUUGUAUUGACUUUAUCAGCUUUCUGCACUUUUUUCUUGUCUUUUUUAAUGCACUUUUCGUUUAACAAGUCAACAUCAAUUUCUUUUGUUGUAAAAGAGUCAUUGGAAGGUGGCUUUCUUUUCGGAGAAAGUGUUUAUAGCCUUUGGCUUCUGCAAUCGGAGAGAUUGAGGUCUGCAGCGUAGAUCCUUCGGGGUUAGAUACAUUUGUGCUAAGUUAUAGCCUUUCAUAGACAACUUGUUGACUAUGAUCAGUCAUGUAGCUUACUCGCUUAUGCUAUUUUACCUACGCUUAGGAUGUUGAA